This 310-nucleotide ribosomal RNA is filed under the name uncultured bacterium. RNAcentral describes it as "bacterial SSU rRNA". It matches the Rfam family "Bacterial small subunit ribosomal RNA", at positions 183 to 507 of the family's 1533-position model. The record is from RNAcentral.
CGGAGGGCACUCCCGAGUGACCAAGUCUUUAUGUGCUGAAAGAUGGUCUCGCGCCUGAUUAGCUAGAUGGCGGGGUAACGGCCCACCAUGGCGACGAUCAGUAGCCGGUCUGAGAGGAUGAACGGCCACAUUGGGACUGAGAUACGGCCCAGACUCCUACGGGAGGCAGCAGUGGGGAAUAUUGGGCAAUGGGGGAAACCCUGACCCAGCAACGCCGCGUGAAGGAAGAAGGCCUUCGGGUUGUAAACUUCUUUUACCAGGGACGAAGAACGUGACGGUACCUGGAGAAAAAGCAACGGCUAACUACGUG